UACGAAGGGGCUAGCGUUGCUCGGAAUUACUGGGCGUAAAGGGAGCGUAGGCGGACAUUUAAGUCGGGGGUGGAAAUCCCGGGGCUCAACCUCGGAAUUGCCUUUGAUACUGGGUGUCUUGAGUAUGAGAGAGGUGUGUGGAACUCCGAGUGUAGAGGUGAAAUUCGUAGAUAUUCGGAAGAACACCAGUGGCGAAGGCGACGCACUGGCUCAUUACUGACGCUGAGGCUCGAAAGCGUGGGGAGCAAACAUGAUUAGAUACCCGGGUAGUCCCUGA
RNAcentral lists this ribosomal RNA (277 nucleotides) under uncultured prokaryote. RNAcentral's name for it is "partial 16S ribosomal RNA". It matches the Rfam family "Bacterial small subunit ribosomal RNA", at positions 524 to 800 of the family's 1533-position model. The record is from RNAcentral.